Long non-coding RNA from Coregonus clupeaformis (lake whitefish), 192 nucleotides. RefSeq lists it as uncharacterized. The transcript has 3 exons. NCBI's taxonomy places the organism in Eukaryota, Metazoa, Chordata, Actinopteri, Salmoniformes, Salmonidae. The record is from RefSeq and is a predicted model, not a curated record.
CUCAGCUCUGCACAAAUGAGUUGUGAAUGUUGCUGCAACAAAUAUGACUUGGCACUAGCAUCUUCGAUCCUAUGAGCUGUCAGCCAUACAGGGAAGCCUGUCUAUCCACCUGCAAUCUGACUUCAAUGAUACAAUCCCACUCUCUGCAUACAAGAUUGAUGGCUUGCUGCUGUUGACUCCCAAGAGGUUCAU